UGAGUCGAGCGCCGUAGCAAUACGGAGCGGCAGACGGGAGAGUAACACGUGGGAACGUGCCCUUCAGUUCGGAACAACCCAGGGAAACUUGGGCUAAUACCGGAUACGUCCGAAAGGAGAAAGAUUUAUCGCUGAAGGAUCGGCCCGCGUCUGAUUAGCUAGUUGGUGAGGUAACGGCUCACCAAGGCGACGAUCAGUAGCUGGUCUGAGAGGAUGAUCAGCCUCACUGGGACUGAGACACGGCCCAGACUCCUACGGGAGGCAGCAGUGGGGAAUAUUGGACAAUGGGCGCAAGCCUGAUCCAGCCAUGCCGCGUGGAUGAUGAAGGCCCUAGGGUUGUAAAGUCCUUUCGGCGGGGAAGAUAAUGACGGUACCCGCAGAAGAAGCCCCGGCUAACUUCGUGCCAGCAGCCGCGGUAAUACGAAGGGGGCUAGCGUUGCUCGGAAUCACUGGGCGUAAAGCGCACGUAGGCGGCUUUUUAAGUCAGGGGUGAAAUCCUGGAGCUCAACUCCAGAACUGCCUUUGAUACUGAGAAGCUUGAGUCCGGGAGAGGUGAGUGGAACUGCGAGUGUAGAGGUGAAAUUCGUAGAUAUUCGCAAGAACACCAGUGGCGAAGCGGCUCACUGGCCCGGUACUGACGCUGAGUGCGAAAGCGUGGGGAGCAAACAGGAUUAGAUACCCUGUAGUCCACGCUGUAAACGAAGAUGCUAGCCGUUGUCGGGUUUACUCGUCAGUGGCGCAGCUAACGCAUUAGCAUCCCGCUGGGGAGUACGGUCGCAAGAUUAAAACUCAAAGGAAUUGACGGGGGCCCGCACAAGCGGGCAUGGUCAAUUCGAAGCACGCGAAA
RNAcentral lists this ribosomal RNA (847 nucleotides) under uncultured Hyphomicrobiaceae bacterium. RNAcentral's name for it is "bacterial SSU rRNA". It matches the Rfam family "Bacterial small subunit ribosomal RNA", at positions 58 to 966 of the family's 1533-position model. The record is from RNAcentral. Lineage: Bacteria; Pseudomonadati; Pseudomonadota; Alphaproteobacteria; Hyphomicrobiales; Hyphomicrobiaceae.